RNAcentral lists this ribosomal RNA (253 nucleotides) under uncultured bacterium. RNAcentral's name for it is "partial 16S ribosomal RNA". It matches the Rfam family "Bacterial small subunit ribosomal RNA", at positions 524 to 776 of the family's 1533-position model. The record is from RNAcentral.
UACGUAGGGGGCUAGCGUUGUCCGGAAUCAUUGGGCGUAAAGCGCGCGUAGGUGGCCCGGUAAGUCCGCUCUGAAAGUCACAGGCUCAACCUGUGAAAGCGGGUGGAUACUGCCGGGCUAGAGUCCGGAGGAGGCGAGUGGAAUUCCUGGUGUAGCGGUGGAAUGCGCAGAUAUCAGGAGGAACACCAACGGCGAAGGCAGCUCGCUGGGACGGUACUGACACUGAGGCGCGAAAGCGUGGGGAGCGAACAGG